RNAcentral lists this long non-coding RNA (466 nucleotides) under Brachypodium distachyon (stiff brome). RNAcentral's name for it is "long non-coding RNA (BDIS_LNC003562)". The record is from RNAcentral. Lineage: Eukaryota; Viridiplantae; Streptophyta; Magnoliopsida; Poales; Poaceae.
AUUGGGAAGGUCGGAAUCUCCGGAUUCCGGAGAUUGCGGCGGCGGGCAGUCCGGCGUGGACUCGGUGCCGGCUUUCCUAACGGGGAAGAAGGCCCUGACGCGUGGGCCCCACGCGUCAGUGGCAGCGGGCGUGCACGCGGGCGGCUCGGUUGGUCGGGCUAGCUCGGCCGGUUCGGCCCAAGCGGUCGGACCGGUCCGGUUUUCCCUUUUUUUUUCUUUUCUUUUUCCCUUUUUCUUAUUUCUUUGAUAUCUUUUGAUUUUGAACUCCAAAUUGGUCCAAAUACAUUCCAGAAAAUUUGUAAAAUCAUGUUUUACCAUGAUACAACUUUUGGGAGUAAUUUCCCCUCAAAAUGAAAUAUAUAAAAAUACAUUUGCCCUAUAAAUGCCUUUAGGGCUAUAUAUCUAUUUAAAUAAAAUACUUUUUCAACUCCAAAUAAUUAUCCAAAAAUUAUGGUAUAGCUUAUAU